GUCCCUGUAGCUUAGAGGCAAAGCAUGGCACUGAAGAUGCCAAGACGGUCCGACAAACACACCCAAGGACA
Molecule: transfer RNA, 71 nt
Filed under: Asio flammeus (short-eared owl)
Lineage: Eukaryota; Metazoa; Chordata; Aves; Strigiformes; Strigidae
Description: tRNA-Phe
Rfam family: tRNA
About the family: Transfer RNA (tRNA) molecules are approximately 80 nucleotides in length. Their secondary structure includes four short double-helical elements and three loops (D, anti-codon, and T loops). Further hydrogen bonds mediate the characteristic L-shaped molecular structure. tRNAs have two regions of fundamental functional importance: the anti-codon, which is responsible for specific mRNA codon recognition, and the 3' end, to which the tRNAs corresponding amino acid is attached (by aminoacyl-tRNA synthetases). tRNAs cope with the degeneracy of the genetic code in two manners: having more than one tRNA (with a specific anti-codon) for a particular amino acid; and 'wobble' base-pairing, i.e. permitting non-standard base-pairing at the 3rd anti-codon position.
Source: RNAcentral